ACGCUCGACACCUACGGGGGGCAGCAGUGGGGAAUAUUGCACAAUGGAGGAAACUCUGAUGCAGCGAUGCCGCGUGAGGGAAGAAGGUUUUCGGAUUGUAAACCUCUGUCUUUGGGGACGAUAAUGACGGUACCCAAGGAGGAAGCUCCGGCUAACUACGUGCCAGCAGCCACGGUAAUCUGAGCGGGCUGGCAAGGC
This 198-nucleotide ribosomal RNA is filed under the name uncultured bacterium. RNAcentral describes it as "partial 16S ribosomal RNA". It matches the Rfam family "Bacterial small subunit ribosomal RNA", at positions 328 to 539 of the family's 1533-position model. The record is from RNAcentral.